AAUAAACGCUGGCGGCGUGCUUAACACAUGCAAGUCGAACGCGAAAGUUUCUUCGGAAACGAGUAGAGUGGCGAACGGGUGAGUAACGCGUGAGAAUCUGCCCUUGAGUGAAGGAUACCAUCGAGAAAUCGAUGUUAAUACUGCAUAUCUUUGUAAAAAGAAAGGUGGCCUAAAAGCUGCCGCUAAAGGAUGAGCUUGCGUGCUAUUAGCUAGUUGGUGGGGUAAAGGCCUACCAAGGCUAUGAUGGCUAGCCGGCCUGAGAGGGUGUACGGCCACAUUGGAACUGAGAAACGGUCCAGACUCCUACGGGAGGCAGCAGUGAGGAAUAUUGCACAAUGGGCGAAAGCCUGAUGCAGCGACGCCGCGUGGAGGAUGAAGGUCUUAGGAUUGUAAACUCCUAGUUAAAACGGGAAAAAGAAUUCUUCUGAAUAGGAAAGAAGAGAUGAUUGUACUGUUAAGAGAAAG
This 465-nucleotide ribosomal RNA is filed under the name uncultured bacterium. RNAcentral's name for it is "bacterial SSU rRNA". It matches the Rfam family "Bacterial small subunit ribosomal RNA", at positions 30 to 490 of the family's 1533-position model. The record is from RNAcentral.